RNAcentral lists this ribosomal RNA (491 nucleotides) under uncultured bacterium. RNAcentral describes it as "partial 16S ribosomal RNA". It matches the Rfam family "Bacterial small subunit ribosomal RNA", at positions 28 to 507 of the family's 1533-position model. The record is from RNAcentral.
GAUGAACGCUGGCUACAGGCUUAACACAUGCAAGUCGAGGGGAAACGACGGGGAAGCUUGCUUCCCCGGGCGUCGACCGGCGCACGGGUGAGUAACGCGUAUCCAACCUGCCUCUGACUGAGGGAUAACCCGUCGAAAGUCGGCCUAAUACCUCAUGGCAUCGUCUGCGGGCAUCCAACGACGAUUAAAGAUUUCAUCGGUCAGAGAUGGGGAUGCGUCUGAUUAGCUUGUUGGCGGGGUAACGGCCCACCAAGGCGACGAUCAGUAGGGGUUCUGAGAGGAAGGUCCCCCACAUUGGAACUGAGACACGGUCCAAACUCCUACGGGAGGCAGCAGUGAGGAAUAUUGGUCAAUGGGCGAGAGCCUGAACCAGCCAAGUAGCGUGCAGGAUGACGGCCCUAUGGGUGGUAAACUGCUUUUAGGCGGGGAUAAAGUGAGGGACGUGUCCUUCAUUGCAGGUACCGCAUGAAUAAGGACCGGCUAAUUCCGUG